UCUAAGACCCUCACUGAUUGUAAUAUAAUAUAUGUAUGUUUAGAUGCAAAUACAUUUUAGUAUAUGUAACUGAUUUCUCGAGUACGUAUUUAAUAAAACAUUACAUCAUACGUUUUUUUUAUUGACCCGAUAUCUUUAUUAGGCUGAGAACUGCAAGUCAAACUUGCGGUUUUCGGCCUGAUAAAACUUGGUGAAUGGAUUAUUAGGAAUCAAAUAUCGGAGAAAUUCCUCACAUUCCCAAUAGUUUGUUUCCUCGCUUCGCUAGAUGGAGUGCUGAAUUUAUUUCCAUAACCUAUCAUUGCAGUUUCCAUUCUAAGGGGGUAUGUUCUGUGAAAAUGGCAUCAUAGAGAAAGUAAAAUUAUUUUACUUACUCUAUGAAUGGCAUCCUGGUCAGCCAUGUUGCCGAACUGCCACCAAAGUAGAAAAUCACCAUGAAAACAAAAAAGUAAUUCAUUCAAGGUUCACAACUUAGCAGAAUUACAUCCAUACAUGAAAUAGUAGACGACAAGCUCAUACAUAUGAUUGUGCGCUUAAUUUAGCCGGGGCCCAGAUGAUGGCAGCCAGCGGUUUGAAAUAUUAAAUUAAUUGUCUUUGGUUUCUCUAUGGAUGUCUAUGAAUGUCUUAAUCGGUUAAUUGGAAUUGUGAUGAGAGUCAGAAAAGUAGUGGAAAUCUAUCAUCUGGGUAUUACUAAUUACUAUCUAUUUUAUAGUAAAUAGUUAAGUAUAUUAAAUGAUUUGUUUUCAUGUAAA
Long non-coding RNA from Dendroctonus ponderosae (mountain pine beetle), 749 nucleotides. RefSeq lists it as uncharacterized. Lineage: Eukaryota; Metazoa; Arthropoda; Insecta; Coleoptera; Curculionidae. The transcript is spliced from 2 exons. The record is from RefSeq and is a predicted model, not a curated record.